Molecule: long non-coding RNA, 630 nt
Filed under: Gouania willdenowi (blunt-snouted clingfish)
Lineage: Eukaryota; Metazoa; Chordata; Actinopteri; Blenniiformes; Gobiesocidae
Description: lncRNA (ENSGWIG00000022082.1)
Source: RNAcentral
CUUCUCUGAGCAUGUCUGUAAUUUUACUUUUUCUGUGCUUUGUACAGGAUUCAGUCUCAGAGAGGCACAACCCUAUCCACUCACGAGACACUACUGUAAAGCACAGCUUUCAGCUGGUUGAUCAACCUCACGCUGCAUUUUCUCAACGUGAUGAAGUCUGGAGUGUGGCUGAUUUAUCUCCCGCCAAUUCAUUAGGAAUAAUGUCCAAGGUGGAUGAGGACACAGAAAAACAUCCUGCUUUGAAAAACCUGGAGGAAGAGGAAGCUGCUGAUCUGCGUCGUGAGGAGUCACUGCAAAAUGGAUCAGUAACUAUUCUUUAUGGAUCCGAUCAGAAACGCUACAGGAUUCACAAAGGCUCUCCAGGUCCGGUCGGGCAACCAGGAAGAAUGGGAUGUGCGGGGAGAGAAGGUUUCAUUGGAAUUACUGGUGACAAGGGAUCUCAAGGUCCUCCCGGCUUGGAUGGGAGUAGAGGAGAUCAAGGUUCUCCCGGUCCUCGAGGUCUUCCCACGCUCUACCUGUGGAGUAACUCAGAGCAGGACCUGGCUGAAUUCAGGGUGAGUCUGAAAAUAAACCUUUCACACAUUUCAGCUGUGAAUGGUCUCAGUGGUGUUUGGUCAAGUUCUGCUGCUC